UACGUAGGGGGCAAGCGUUGUCCGGAAUCAUUGGGCGUAAAGCGCGCGUAGGCGGCUACUUAAGUCGGAUGUGAAAGCCCCUGGCUCAACUGGGGAAGUGCACCCGAAACUGAGUGGCUUGAGUACUAAAGAGGGUCGCGGAAUUCCCGGUGUAGAGGUGAAAUUCGUAGAUAUCGGGAGGAACACCGGUGGCGAAGGCGGCGUCCUGGCUCGCAUCUGACGCUCAGACACGACAGCAUGGGGAGCGAACGGG
RNAcentral lists this ribosomal RNA (253 nucleotides) under uncultured bacterium. RNAcentral's name for it is "partial 16S ribosomal RNA". It matches the Rfam family "Bacterial small subunit ribosomal RNA", at positions 524 to 776 of the family's 1533-position model. The record is from RNAcentral.